RNAcentral lists this ribosomal RNA (1361 nucleotides) under uncultured bacterium. Its description in RNAcentral is "bacterial SSU rRNA". It matches the Rfam family "Bacterial small subunit ribosomal RNA", at positions 28 to 1381 of the family's 1533-position model. The record is from RNAcentral.
AUUGAACGCUGGCGGCAGGCCUAACACAUGCAAGUCGAGCGGUAGCACAGAGAGCUUGCUCUCGGGUGACGAGCGGCGGACGGGUGAGUAAUGUCUGGGAAACUGCCUGAUGGAGGGGGAUAACUACUGGAAACGGUAGCUAAUACCGCAUAACGUCGCAAGACCAAAGUGGGGGACCUUCGGGCCUCAUGCCAUCAGAUGUGCCCAGAUGGGAUUAGCUAGUAGGUGGGGUAAUGGCUCACCUAGGCGACGAUCCCUAGCUGGUCUGAGAGGAUGACCAGCCACACUGGAACUGAGACACGGUCCAGACUCCUACGGGAGGCAGCAGUGGGGAAUAUUGCACAAUGGGCGCAAGCCUGAUGCAGCCAUGCCGCGUGUGUGAAGAAGGCCUUCGGGUUGUAAAGCACUUUCAGCGGGGAGGAAGGCGUUAAGGUUAAUAACCUUGGCGAUUGACGUUACCCGCAGAAGAAGCACCGGCUAACUCCGUGCCAGCAGCCGCGGUAAUACGGAGGGUGCAAGCGUUAAUCGGAAUUACUGGGCGUAAAGCGCACGCAGGCGGUCUGUCAAGUCGGAUGUGAAAUCCCCGGGCUCAACCUGGGAACUGCAUUCGAAACUGGCAGGCUAGAGUCUUGUAGAGGGGGGUAGAAUUCCAGGUGUAGCGGUGAAAUGCGUAGAGAUCUGGAGGAAUACCGGUGGCGAAGGCGGCCCCCUGGACAAAGACUGACGCUCAGGUGCGAAAGCGUGGGGGGCAAACAGGAUUAGAUACCCUGGUAGUCCACGCCGUAAACGAUGUCGAUUUGGAGGUUGUGCCCUUGAGGCGUGGCUUCCGGAGCUAACGCGUUAAAUCGACCGCCUGGGGAGUACGGCCGCAAGGUUAAAACUCAAAUGAAUUGACGGGGGCCCGCACAAGCGGUGGAGCAUGUGGUUUAAUUCGAUGCAACGCGAAGAACCUUACCUGGUCUUGACAUCCACAGAACUUUCCAGAGAUGGAUUGGUGCCUUCGGGAACUGUGAGACAGGUGCUGCAUGGCUGUCGUCAGCUCGUGUUGUGAAAUGUUGGGUUAAGUCCCGCAACGAGCGCAACCCUUAUCCUUUGUUGCCAGCGGUUAGGCCGGGAACUCAAAGGAGACUGCCAGUGAUAAACUGGAGGAAGGUGGGGAUGACGUCAAGUCAUCAUGGCCCUUACGACCAGGGCUACACACGUGCUACAAUGGCAUAUACAAAGAGAAGCGACCUCGCGAGAGCAAGCGGACCUCAUAAAGUAUGUCGUAGUCCGGAUUGGAGUCUGCAACUCGACUCCAUGAAGUCGGAAUCGCUAGUAAUCGUAGAUCAGAAUGCUACGGUGAAUACGUUCCCGGGCCU